Molecule: ribosomal RNA, 391 nt
Filed under: uncultured Spumella
Lineage: Eukaryota; Synurophyceae; Ochromonadales; Ochromonadaceae
Description: partial small subunit ribosomal RNA
Rfam family: Eukaryotic small subunit ribosomal RNA
Source: RNAcentral
GCUUGUCUCAAAGAUUAAGCCAUGCAUGUCUAAGUAUAAGCAUUAUACAGUGAAACUGCGAAUGGCUCAUUAUAUCAGUUAUAGUUUAUUUGAUAGUCCCUACUACUUGGAUAACCGUAGUAAUUCUAGAGCUAAUACAUGCACAAAGGCCCGACUUCUGGGAGAGGUGUAUUUAUUAGAUGGAAACCAAUGCGGGGCAACCCGGUAUAUGGUGAUUCAUAAUAACUUUCGGAUCGAUCUUCGGAUCGAUGCAUCAUUCAAGUUUCUGCCCUAUCAGCUUUGGAUGGUAGGGUAUUGGCCUACCAUGGCUUUAACGGGUAACGGAGAAUUAGGGUUCGAUUCCGGAGAGGGAGCCUGAGAAAUGGCUACCACAUCCAAGGAAGGCAGCAGG